This 390-nucleotide ribosomal RNA is filed under the name uncultured Nitrospina sp. Its description in RNAcentral is "bacterial SSU rRNA". It matches the Rfam family "Bacterial small subunit ribosomal RNA", at positions 29 to 410 of the family's 1533-position model. Lineage: Bacteria; Pseudomonadati; Nitrospinota; Nitrospinia; Nitrospinales; Nitrospinaceae. The record is from RNAcentral.
AACGAACGCUGGUGGCGUGCUUAACACAUGCAAGUCGAACGAGAAAGUUUCCUUCGGGAAAUUAGUAAAGUGGCGCAAGGGUGAGUAUCACGUGAAUAAUCUGCCCUCGAGAUCGGGAUAACAUGGUGAAAACUAUGCUAAUACCGGAUAAGACCACAUUUCAAAAGAAAUGUGGGAAAAGAAGUCUCAAACCUUUACUCGAGGAUGGGUUCGCGCAACAUUAGCUUGUUGGUGAGAUAAAAGCUCACCAAGGCUACGAUGUUUAGCCGGCCUGAGAGGGUGAACGGCCACACUGGAACUGAGACACGGUCCAGACUCCUACGGGAGGCAGCAGUGGGGAAUAUUGCGCAAUGGGCGAAAGCUUGACGCAGCGACACCGCGUGUGGGAUG